This 468-nucleotide ribosomal RNA is filed under the name uncultured bacterium. RNAcentral describes it as "partial 16S ribosomal RNA". It matches the Rfam family "Bacterial small subunit ribosomal RNA", at positions 28 to 507 of the family's 1533-position model. The record is from RNAcentral.
GACGAACGCUGGCGGCGUGCUUAACACAUGCAAGUCGAACGGAAGGGCCCUGCUUUUGUGGGGUGCUCGAGUGGCGAACGGGUGAGUAACACGUGAGUAACCUGCCCUUGACUUUGGGAUAACUUCAGGAAACUGGGGCUAAUACCGGAUAGGAGCUCCUGCUGCAGGGUGGGGGUUGGAAAGUUUCGGCGGUUGGGGAUGGACUCGCGGCUUAUCAGCUUGUUGGUGGGGUAGUGGCUUACCAAGGCUUUGACGGGUAGCUGGCCUGAGAGGGUGACCGGCCACAUUGGGACUGAGAUACGGCCCAGACUCCUACGGGAGGCAGCAGUGGGGAAUAUUGCACAAUGGGCGGAAGCCUGAUGCAGCAACGCCGCGUGCGGGAUGACGGCCUUCGGGUUGUAAACCGCUUUCGCCUGUGACGAAGCGUGAGUGACGGUAAUGGGUAAAGAAGCACCGGCUAACUACGUG